This is a long non-coding RNA of Poecilia latipinna (sailfin molly), 804 nucleotides long. RefSeq lists it as uncharacterized. The record is from RefSeq and is a predicted model, not a curated record. Lineage: Eukaryota; Metazoa; Chordata; Actinopteri; Cyprinodontiformes; Poeciliidae. The transcript is spliced from 2 exons.
UUAGACAGCCUGGUAAUUGCACAGGUGUGCUGUAGGCUGGCUGGCCACAUUAAGUCACUGAAAUCUGAAAUGUGCUGUUUGCUUUAUUUGGGAGGGUCUUACAAAAAAUAUAAAUGCAACACUUUUGUUUUUGCUCCCAUUUUUAUUAGUUCAACAAUCUAAAACAUUUUUCUAUAUAAAUGAAAUAAUUUCUUUCAAAUACUGUUAACAAAUCUGUCUAAAUCUGAUCGUGAGCACUUCUUUAGAUAAUCCAUCCCACCUCACAGGUCUGGCAUAUCCAGAUACUAAUUGGAUAGCAUAAUUAUAGCACUGACUACAAUAAAAACCACUGUGAAAUGUGCUUUCAGAGUGGCCAUUAUCUGGUUUGGUGACAACUUGCCUCACGCAAUGCAACAUCCAUUACAUAGAGUUGAUCAGGUUGUUGAUUGUGGAAUGUAGGUCCACUCCUCUUACAUGGCUCACAUGUCCAGUGAGAAAGCUGGCCAUGAAAGAACUGGGAUGUUUUCAGCUUCUAGGAAUUUUGUGCAGAUUCUUACAAGAUGGAGCAACAUGCUGCAACAUGAGGAGAUAGUCGUGGAUGAAUGGCACAACAAUGGGUCUCAGGAUCUCUCUGGAUCUGUUUGCUUGCAGAUCAAAAGAAAUGUUUCACCUGCCACAUUUUUUUGUUUUAGGAUUUUAUUGCGUGUGCGUUUGCAGGUCAUUGCAUGAACCUAAUUUUUCCUUGUCUGGCAACAUUUUGAUUUCGCCAAAUAGUUUCACACAGUAACAAUAAACCAUUCCCUAUAAACAUAAAAAAAACAACAC